RNAcentral lists this ribosomal RNA (163 nucleotides) under Elaeagnus angustifolia var. orientalis. RNAcentral describes it as "partial 28S ribosomal RNA". It matches the Rfam family "Eukaryotic large subunit ribosomal RNA", at positions 1 to 166 of the family's 3401-position model. The record is from RNAcentral. Lineage: Eukaryota; Viridiplantae; Streptophyta; Magnoliopsida; Rosales; Elaeagnaceae.
GACCCCAGGUCAGGCGGGGCUACCCGCUGAGUUUAAGCAUAUCAAUAAGCGGAGGAAAAGAAACUUACAAGGGUCCCCUAGUAACGGCGAGCGAACCGGAACACCCCAGGUGGAAAAUCGGAUGCGCUUGUCGUUCGAAUUGUGUUCUGGAAAAAACGUCACA